UCAAUGGGCGGAAGCCUGAACCAGCCAUGCCGCGUGCGGGAAGGAGGCCCUAUGGGCUGUGAACCGCUUUUGCCUGGGGGCAAUAAGGGCGUCGCGCACGUCCGAUGAGAGUACCAGGCGAAUAAGCAUCGGCUAACUCCGUGCCAGCAGCCGCGGUAAUACGGGGGAUGCGAGCGUUAUCCGGAUUCAUUGGGUUUAAAGGGUGCGUAGGCUGUGCGUCAAGUCGGGGGUGAAAUUCCGGUGCUCAACACCGGGGCUGCCCUUGAUACUGUCGCGCUGGAGUGCGGAUGCCGCCGGAGGAAUGAGUGGUGUAGCGGUGAAAUGCUUAGAUAUCACUCAGAACACCGAUUGCGAAGGCAUCUGGCGAAUCCGUAACUGACGCUGAGGCACGAAAGCGUGGGGAUAGAACAGGAUUAGAUACCCUGGUAUUCCACGCCGUAAACGAUGAUGGCUAACCGCCGGCGACACACUGUCGGUGGCCAAGCGAAAGCGAUAAGCCAUCCACCUGGGGAGUACGUCGGCAACGAUGAAACUCAAAGGAAUUGACGGGGGCCCGCACAAGCGGAGGAACAUGUGGUUUAAUUCGAUGAUACGCGAGGAACCUUACCCGGGCUCGAACGGCACCUGGAUCGCCCAGAGAUGGGCGAGUCUUCGGACAGGUGUCGAGGUGCUGCAUGGUUGUCGUCAGCUCGUGCCGUGAGGUGUCGGCUUAAGUGCCAUAACGAGCGCAACCCUUGCCGCCAGUUGCCAUCAGGUGAUGCUGGGCACUCUGGCGGGACUGCCACCGUAAGGUGUGAGGAGGGGGGGGAUGACGUCAAAUCAGCACGGCCCUUACGUCCGGGGCGACACACGUGUUACAAUGGCGGCCACAGAGGGAAGCUACCCCGCGAGGGGAUGCGGAUCUCGAAAAGCC
RNAcentral lists this ribosomal RNA (913 nucleotides) under human gut metagenome. RNAcentral's name for it is "bacterial SSU rRNA". It matches the Rfam family "Bacterial small subunit ribosomal RNA", at positions 368 to 1284 of the family's 1533-position model. The record is from RNAcentral.